This 264-nucleotide long non-coding RNA is filed under the name Vigna radiata. RNAcentral's name for it is "long non-coding RNA (VRAD_LNC005038)". Lineage: Eukaryota; Viridiplantae; Streptophyta; Magnoliopsida; Fabales; Fabaceae. The record is from RNAcentral.
AAAUUCAAAUAAAGGUUCAUUGCAUCGGAGGUCACUUCCUCCAUCGCAUCUUCAUUCAACAAACUGGAAAGACUCUUCCUUAAUUGCAAAUUUCAAUUGCAGGGAAAAGGAAACAACAAAGGAAAGGGCAAUCGAAAACUUUUCCUCCAAAAACCCAGAGUCCAACACAAAUCCAAAAAAAAAGAGGGGAAGUAGAGUGUGGAAAUUAACAAUCAGAGGAGAAAAUGUCCCAAUCUUGAGGCGAAAUUGGGCACAAACCCUCGC